Molecule: RNase P RNA, 391 nt
Filed under: Ammoniphilus sp. CFH 90114
Lineage: Bacteria; Bacillati; Bacillota; Bacilli; Caryophanales; Paenibacillaceae
Description: Bacterial RNase P class B
Rfam family: Bacterial RNase P class B
About the family: Ribonuclease P (RNase P) is a ubiquitous endoribonuclease, found in archaea, bacteria and eukarya as well as chloroplasts and mitochondria. Its best characterised activity is the generation of mature 5'-ends of tRNAs by cleaving the 5'-leader elements of precursor-tRNAs.
Source: Rfam by way of RNAcentral
AGAUGCGGAUAGUCGCUGCCUGACAUAUGAGCAGGUAGAGGAAAGUCCAGGCUCGCCCGGAGCUGAGAUGCCCGGAGUGUUCGUGCCUAUCGCAAGGUAGGGCAGUCGGUUACGGCCGGCUGACGGCGGGGAAAGUAUCCUAAGGCAUUUAUGUGCUAUGGUGCGAAUACCCUGAAAGUGCCACAGUGACGGAGUUCUUCCGGAAACGGAAGAAGUGGAACGAGGUAAACCCCACGAGUGAGCAACCCAAAUUAUGGUAGGGGCACCGCCCAGCGGGAAAUGAACCAAAAGGGCGGAUCGGUCGCACAGACCGAUAGUUAAAUGACUAUGACUUCAGGUACCAGGCUGGCUGCCGAUAUGAGUACAGAAGUACAGAACCUGGCUUAUAGCA